CGGGGUGCACCAGGCGCGAAACCUCUGCAAUAGGCGAAAGCCUGACAGGGUUACUCUGAGUGAUUCCCGCUAAGGGGAUCUUUUGGCACCUCUAAAAAUGGUGCAGAAUAAGGGGUGGGCAAGCCUGGUGUCAGCCGCCGCGGUAAUACCAGCACCCCGAGUGGUCGGGACGAUUAUUGGGCCUAAAGCAUCCGUAGCCGGCCACGCAAGUCCUCCGUUAAAUCCACCCGCUCAACGGUUGGGCUGCGGAGGAUACUACGUGGCUAGGAGGCGGGAGAGGCAAGCGGUACUCAAUGGGUAGGGGUAAAAUCCUUUGAUCCAUUGAAGACCACCAGUGGCGAAGGCGGCUUGCCAGAACGCGCUCGACGGUGAGGGAUGAAAGCUGGGGGAGCAAACCGGAUUAGAUACCCGGGUAGUCCCAGCUGUAAACGAUGCAGACUCGGUGAUGGGAUGGCCUCGAGCCAUCCCAGUGCCGCAGGGAAGCCGUUAAGUCUGCCGCCUGGGGAGUACGGUCGCAAGACUGAAACUUAAAGGAAUUGGCGGGGAGCACAAGGGCGA
RNAcentral lists this ribosomal RNA (558 nucleotides) under uncultured archaeon. Its description in RNAcentral is "bacterial SSU rRNA". It matches the Rfam family "Archaeal small subunit ribosomal RNA", at positions 326 to 887 of the family's 1478-position model. The record is from RNAcentral.